Molecule: ribosomal RNA, 513 nt
Filed under: uncultured bacterium
Lineage: Bacteria
Description: partial 16S ribosomal RNA
Rfam family: Bacterial small subunit ribosomal RNA
Source: RNAcentral
GAUGAACGCUGGCGGCGUGCCUAAUACAUGCAAGUCGAGCGAACAGACGAGGAGCUUGCUCCUCUAACGUUAGCGGCGGACGGGUGAGUAACACGUGGAUAACCUACCUAUAAGACUGGGAUAACUUCGGGAAACCGGAGCUAAUACCGGAUAUUAAUUUAACCCGCUUGGUUCAUUAGUAAAGAACGGUUUUGCGGUCCCUUCUGGGUGGAUCGGCGCCGCAUUAGCUAGUUGGUAAGGUAACAGCUUACCAAGGCAACGAUGCGUAGCCGACCUGAGAGGGUGAUCGGCCACACUGGAACUGAGACACGGUCCAGACUCCUACGGGAGGCAGCAGUAGGGAAUCUUCCGCAAUGGGCGAAAGCCUGACGGAGCAACGCCGCGUGAGUGAUGAAGGUCUUCGGAUCGUAAAACUCUGUUAUUAGGGAAGAACAAAUGUGUAAGUAACUAUGCACGUCUUGACGGUACCUAAUCAGAGAGCCACGGCUAAUUACGUGCCAGCAGCCGCGGUAA